Long non-coding RNA from Mytilus californianus (California mussel), 319 nucleotides. RefSeq lists it as uncharacterized. The record is from RefSeq and is a predicted model, not a curated record. Lineage: Eukaryota; Metazoa; Mollusca; Bivalvia; Mytilida; Mytilidae. The transcript has 3 exons.
GUUCAAUUUUCGUAUCGUUUAUAUGCCUUACGGAAAACCGACCUUUUCCGGAAUCGACUUUUGUUUUAUCACCGGAAAUGAAUUUGAAAUUUGAAUUUCGAAACGAAGACAGGAUAUCAACAAAGAGAGCCAAGAAAAUUGUUUGUUACGCGAUAUAUACUCACUUGGAGCUAAAAGAAAAGCCACAAAGGACAAGUUCAAUAUGCAGGUUUACAAUUUGGAAGUGGCACAGGUUCUUUGGAAUGUCUACAACCUUUCAGGAGAAUUUUUUUUUGAAAAGCAUGGCACAGCAAGAAAAAGAUAUAAGACACUACAAGAC